RNAcentral lists this long non-coding RNA (757 nucleotides) under Fukomys damarensis (Damara mole-rat). RNAcentral describes it as "lncRNA (ENSFDAG00000031794.1)". Lineage: Eukaryota; Metazoa; Chordata; Mammalia; Rodentia; Bathyergidae. The record is from RNAcentral.
CCCAGCUGAAUCGCACGGUUUUUCUCUUUCUCCCCUGUAAGUUAUUUUAUUUCUUCUGUGCCCAUUGAAGUUCCUGCCCGUGCUUCUGAUUCUCGUCCUGGAAGCUCUAACUCUGGAACUUUAGGGUCCCCAGACAGCUUUGUGUCUUUGGGAAGAGCAGCUUCUUGACACUUUGUUUUCCUUCUUUUCAGAGGGAAAAAAGAGCUUCAGAUUUGGAGAGCAACAGUGAAACUCCACAGAAAUCCACAUCCGGACUUGCUGGUGUCUCAGUGUCCCACCCAGCCGCAUCGUGGGACCUCCCUGUCACCUCACAGAAGGUUCCUCUAUUUCUCCUAUGGAUCUGCUUCCUGUCGUCUGCUUUAUUUCAACGGAGCGUGUCCUUCAUGAGAUGCAGCUCUGUGUGCCAUUGCUCCUGCCCGGCUCCUUGAAUCAGUUUCACGGUCCCGCCCUGUGCACACUCCCUCCUCAGCCAUGGCCGGGAUCUUGCAGUGACUUCGACGCUUCGGUCCCUUUCAGUCUUCUGGCGUGCGUUCACUCCAUUCCCUCUGUGCAGAAGUCUUCUCUCGCUCUGGGUCACUGGCUGAGUAACAGACACCUAUGCAGUGUCAGAUCUGUCGCCGUCUCCAACAAGCCUCCUACUAGUCACUCUGUUCCCGUGCAUGCUCUUUACUGUUUCCCUAGUUGCACCUAAAAUUCCUUACCGGAAGUGAGACUCUAUCCUAGGAUUAAAGAGGAGAUCUUUAGCACAUCUCAUGCC